GACGAACGCUGGCGGCGUGCUUAACACAUGCAAGUCGAACGAUGACGCCCGAGCUUGCUCGGUCUGAUUAGUGGCGAACGGGUGAGUAACACGUGAGCAACCUGCCCUUCACUCUGGGAUAACCUCGGGAAAUCGGGGCUAAUACCGGAUAUGAGCUCCUGUCGCAUGGCGGGGGUUGGAAAGUUUUUCGGUGAAGGAUGGGCUCGCGGCCUAUCAGUUUGUUGGUGGGGUAGUGGCUCACCAAGGCGAUGACGGGUAGCCGGCCUGAGAGGGCGACCGGCCACACUGGGACUGAGACACGGCCCAGACUCCUACGGGAGGCAGCAGUGGGGAAUAUUGCACAAUGGGCGAAAGCCUGAUGCAGCGACGCCGCGUGAGGGAUGACGGCCUUCGGGUUGUAAACCUCUUUCAGCAGGGAAGAAGCGAAAGUGACGGUACCUGCAGAAGAAGCGCCGGCUAACUACGUG
Molecule: ribosomal RNA, 467 nt
Filed under: uncultured bacterium
Lineage: Bacteria
Description: partial 16S ribosomal RNA
Rfam family: Bacterial small subunit ribosomal RNA
Source: RNAcentral